This 442-nucleotide ribosomal RNA is filed under the name uncultured bacterium. RNAcentral's name for it is "bacterial SSU rRNA". It matches the Rfam family "Bacterial small subunit ribosomal RNA", at positions 338 to 777 of the family's 1533-position model. The record is from RNAcentral.
CCUACGGGGGGCAGCAGUGAGGAAUAUUGGUCAAUGGGCGAGAGCCUGAACCAGCCAAGUCGCGUGAGGGAAGACGGUCCUAUGGAUUGUAAACCUCUUUUGUCGGGGAGCAAUAAGACCACGUGUGGUCGAAAGUGAGAGUACCCGAAGAAAAAGCAUCGGCUAACUCCGUGCCAGCAGCCGCGGUAAUACGGAGGAUGCGAGCGUUAUCCGGAUUUAUUGGGUUUAAAGGGUGCGUAGGCGGAAUGGAAAGUCAGCGGUAAAAUUUCCGGGCUCAACCCGGUCGUGCCGUUGAAACUGUCGUUCUUGAGUGAGCGAGAAGUAUGCGGAAUGCGUGGUGUAGCGGUGAAAUGCAUAGAUAUCACGCAGAACUCCGAUUGCGAAGGCAGCAUACCGGCGCUCAACUGACGCUGAAGCACGAAGGCGUGGGGAUCAAACAGGA